Molecule: ribosomal RNA, 408 nt
Filed under: uncultured bacterium
Lineage: Bacteria
Description: bacterial SSU rRNA
Rfam family: Bacterial small subunit ribosomal RNA
Source: RNAcentral
GUGGGGGAUAUUGCACAAUGGGCGAAAGCCUGAUGCAGCGACGCCGCGUGAGGGAAGAAGGUUUUCGGAUUGUAAACCUCUGUCUUCGGGGACGAAAUAAAUGACGGUACCCGAGGAGGAAGCUCCGGCUAACUACGUGCCAGCAGCCGCGGUAAUACGUAGGGAGCAAGCGUUGUCCGGAAUUACUGGGUGUAAAGGGAGCGUAGGCGGGUACGCAAGUUGAAUGUUAAAUCCAGAGGCUUAACUUCUGGCUGCGUUCAAAACUGCGUAUCUUGAGUGAAGUAGAGGCAGGCGGAAUUCCUAGUGUAGCGGUGAAAUGCGUAGAUAUUAGGAGGAACACCAGUGGCGAAGGCGGCCUGCUGGGCUUUUACUGACGCUGAGGCUCGAAAGCAUGGGUAGCAAACAGGA